Molecule: long non-coding RNA, 1124 nt
Organism: Panicum virgatum (switchgrass)
Lineage: Eukaryota; Viridiplantae; Streptophyta; Magnoliopsida; Poales; Poaceae
Exons: 6
Source: RefSeq, a predicted model, not a curated record
AGCAACGCAUAAUCGAACGGACCCGAAAUUUUUAUGAAAUGCGGUUCAUACGGACUCGCGUCCGUCAACUGCCGUUCUCAUCGUUCUUGUACUUGCAGUCCUCUUUCUCAUCCCUUCGGCUCUCCUCUAUUCCCCUCACCGUCUCCACUACUCGACACGCACCACCAGGACGGCUCCUCCGGCGAGCGGCCAUCUCCAUCUCCUCCGCGUGCGCGGCCAGGAUGCCUCUUAUGUGUGUGCCAUGACGAGCCUCUUGCAGAUCCAGAUCCACACGGGCAUGUUGGUGGGGUGUGCUUGCCGCAGUGGAGGCUAGCUGCGUUGGGGGUGCAUCUCCGGUGAUGCUGACCUGCAAGGCUGCGCGGCUCGUCCAAGGUGGCGGCUGGCUAGGGUUUGGGCGUGCCCAUCUCUAGCCCCACGAUCUCAUUGGCAACCACGGACUUGCAUCGUCUUACGCAUCAGCAGGGACAACUACAGACAUAACUUCCAGGCCUGGAGAACAGAGCUGCAGCGAGAUUGGAAGUGUUUGAUUGGUUAACAAAAGCUUCUAGGUGGAUAUGCUGCAGCCUGCAGCUCUUUAGGUAUUUUUGAAGCAACCUCUUUUUUUAUCGCUCAAAGAAAAGCCCUUUUUAGAGGCCCGUAUACUGUGAAAAUAAAGUGCUCCACAAUCAGAUGCCAAUUUGAGCACUUCUAAGCUGAAGAAUGUAAUACCUAGGAGGUAUCACCUGCAGAUGUUGGAAACUCCAUGUGAUACAGUGAUAGCUGGUGGCAGUGACAAUGGACAAGGAGUGUUUGAUCAAACGGACAGAUCUGCUAUAUCUUGCUAAAGGCCAUGGUUUAUUUUUGAUCAAGUUUCAUAGAAGUUCUGAAAGAGCUGGAACACAGGCAUUUCAGUCCUGCUUCAGAGAUGAACAGAUUGCAAGACACAUCAUGCAUAUGUUUUGUUGUACAGUUGAGGAUAUGAUCAUGUGGAGCACGAAGGAUUAUUUGAGUGAAUGCAUUUCGGGAUAAAUUAGUCAUAUGUUCAAUUUCAGUUUUUUUUAUCCCUGUAUACUAUCAACAACCAUGUAAAGAGAAUCCUUGUAACUGAAAUUAUUUAUCUAAUAAGAUCAUUCUCAAUUUUUUUA